This 151-nucleotide microRNA precursor is filed under the name Pelobates cultripes (western spadefoot toad). The record is from RNAcentral. Lineage: Eukaryota; Metazoa; Chordata; Amphibia; Anura; Pelobatidae.
ACACAUUCCAGCCAAUCAGCAGCAGACCCUCCCUCCCAGACCCUCCCACCUCCUGGACAGCAUCCAUUUUUAAGCUGCAUUCUUAGUGAGCUGUCCAGGAGGUGGGAGGGUCUGGGAGGGAGAGUCUGCUGCUGAUGGCUGAAAUGUGUCA